This 366-nucleotide ribosomal RNA is filed under the name uncultured eukaryote. RNAcentral describes it as "bacterial SSU rRNA". It matches the Rfam family "Eukaryotic small subunit ribosomal RNA", at positions 591 to 1018 of the family's 1831-position model. The record is from RNAcentral.
CGAAUAGCGUAUAUUGAACGUGCUGCGGUUAAAAGCUCGUAGUUGGAUUUCUGCUGAGGACGACCGGUCCGCCCUCUGGGUGAAUAUCUGGCGCGGCCUUGGCAUGUUCUUGGAAAACGUAACUGCACUUGAUUGUGUGGUACGGUAUCCAGGACUUUUACUGUGAGGGAAUUACAAUGUUUUAAUAUGUUGUUGGUUUCUGAAGCUGAGGUAAUGAUUGAUAUGGAUAGUUGGGGGCAUUCGUAUUUAACUGACAGAAAUGAAAACCUUGGAUUGUCAAAGACGUAUUACUGCGAAAGCAUUUGCCAAGGACGUUUUCAUUGAUCAAGAACGAAAGUCAGGGGAUCGAAGAUGAUUAGAUACCGU